This is a non-coding RNA of Podarcis lilfordi (Lilford's wall lizard), 1893 nucleotides long. The record is from the annotation of a GenBank genome assembly. NCBI's taxonomy places the organism in Eukaryota, Metazoa, Chordata, Lepidosauria, Squamata, Lacertidae.
UGAAGCGUAUGUAACCCGAGGUACCACUGUACUACAUUGCCACUCUUCGUGGGUGCAUGGAUUAGGGAUGUGCAAGUAUGUCAAUGUUGGUUUAUCUUGGUUUCUCAUUUUUGCAACCUUAAACUUAAGUUCUCCAGAUUUCCACAUCAGCUUUGUGAAUUUUCUAAAAAUAAAAGUUCUCAAGAAAAUCUAUUCACAUUUUAGCACACAUUUCUCCCAAUAUACACAUAUCUCUAUGCAAUUUUGCCUAACCUACAUAUUUCCACAAAGCUAUUUUCCCUAACGUAAUGCAUUUUUUGUAUGCUAUUUUUAUUUGUGGACACAUUUUAAUGCACACUUUACCCCAGGACGUGCAUUUUUGGCUGGAGAAAACUGGAUUGCAAAAUUUGGAACUUUGCUGAUUUUAAAGAAUUUGUGAGUUUCAGUUCAUUGAAUCUUUCUGGAAGGUGCAGAGUAGGUAAUUCACCCUUAAAUGUGCAUUGAAUUGAAUUUCUCCCUCCAUCCGUUGCUUGGAUAAAACACCGAAGGAAAGAGAGAAUGAAAACAAUGGUACAAUUCUUUUGUGACUUCAUUGGACCCUUUUUGAUUUUACCUCCCCCUCCACCUUUUAGUGUUUACCCAACUAUUUUGUUUUUUGCACGCCUGAAAAACAAGUAUGCUGAUGCCUCCCUCUUGUUUGUGGAGCUGUUUUUCAAACUGCAUAAGCAACAGCACACAGAGCCUGGAUGCUGGACCUGGGGAAAAAUUUGGAUGCAGAGAUUUUCAGAAACAUGACUAGCAAAAAAUAAAAUAAAAAUCUUUUGCUGGGUAGCAGAAAAUACGUUGCUGUUAAAUCUAUUUGUCCUCUCCCUCCUGUUUUCCCCUUUUGCCAGUUGGCUCCCACUGGCUUGCAUGCAGUUGUGGGUGCCAUUUGUAGCAACCCAGUUCUGUUGGGAUAACCAGAAAUGUACACACUCCUGAUUCAGUUUAAAUAAAUGCAGGUGAAAAGGGGUGUUGUAUAUGAAGCAUCCAGCAGUUGAUGCUCGAAUGCAGUCACUUUGCCAAAUCUCUCUCUCUCUCUCUCUCUCUCUCUCUCUCUCUCUCUCUGUGUGUGUGUGUGCAGAAUGUCUUUCUAAUAAUAAGGGAGUGCUGGAAAAAGCGGAUGCCACAAUCAGCCUAAAGAGCACAUGGGAAAAUAUGAUUGCAUGUAAUUUUGUGGUGAUGAAAAUAAGAGUGGGGAUUUGGCUGAGGGUGCCCUUGAAAAUAUGGCUUAUCCUCCAUUUUGAGGCAGAAGGUUUGUCCAUCUUUAUGGUGCAUUUUGGUUGGAACUCCUGCAAGGUGGGCCUACAGUGGGGUUUCUGCAGCACUGCUGCCUUCCUGUAGCACUUGGGAGUAAGGAUGUGAGAAGGCACAGUUUCCCCUUUCAUCCUGUAUUUUUCACUGCAGCACUGUUUCUGUUUUGGUGCAGUUCACCUGUCAAAAACUACAUUAUACAUCUUGCCAUCAGCUGUGAAGAUAUGACGUAACUUGCGUAGUGAAUUACGUAAAUUACUUUAUUUCGUUCCAUUCAUUUCACUGGAAAGGAGAUACCGUACAUUCUUGGUGUCUGAUCUUCCCAGUCAUUUUCGCCGUUUCGGCAUAGUCAAAAGAUUUAAAAAAGAAUGGACUAAUUUUGCAGAAUAUCUGAAGGAGUGUUGUAAACAUUUGAAAACAUUAGCAGGCCUACAACAGCACUGGUGAUAUAAUUAGGGUAAAAUUUGUAAUAAGGGAGAUGAAUAAAUUAGAUAAAGAUACGAAGACACAGAAAAGAUAAGAGGUAAUGAUGGGAAACUGGGGAGGAGGGUGGGGGGAAGUCCAGGGGUUGAGAACCUCCAAAAGAUAAUGUUUUGUUGUGUUGAUAUGAAUCUAAAAUGU